UAGCAAUACGACGGAAAGUUCAGUGGCGAUCGGGUGCGUAACACGUGGGCAAUCUGCCUUAAAGUGUGGAAUAGCUCGGCGAAAGCCGAAUUAAUACCGCAUGUGGCUACUGGAGACAUCUUCGGGACGCUAAAGGUGGCGCAAGCUACCGCUUUUUGAGGAGCCCGCGGCCUAUCAGCUUGUUGGUGAGGUAACGGCUCACCAAGGCGUUGACGGGUAGCUGGUCUGAGAGGACGACCAGCCACACUGGGACUGAGACACGGCCCAGACACCUACGGGUGGCAGCAGUCGAGAAUUUUUGACAAUGGGGGAAACCCUGAUCGAGCGACGCCGCGUGGAGGAUGAAGGUCUUCGGGUUGUAAACUCCUGUCAUUUGGGAACAAGGCGCGGUUAUUAACUGUAGUCGCGUUGAUAGUACCAGAAGAGGAAGAGACGGCUAACUCUGUGCCAGCAGCCGCGGUAAUACAGAGGUCUCAAGCGUUGUUCGGAUUCAUUGGGCGUAAAGGGUGUGUAGGUGGCGCGCUAAGUCGGGUGUGAAAUUUCGGAGCUUAACUCCGAAACUGCAUUCGAUACUGGCGUGCUUGAGGACUGGAGAGGAGACUGGAAUUCACGGUGUAGCA
RNAcentral lists this ribosomal RNA (620 nucleotides) under uncultured Verrucomicrobiota bacterium. RNAcentral describes it as "bacterial SSU rRNA". It matches the Rfam family "Bacterial small subunit ribosomal RNA", at positions 77 to 680 of the family's 1533-position model. The record is from RNAcentral. Lineage: Bacteria; Pseudomonadati; Verrucomicrobiota.